This 148-nucleotide non-coding RNA is filed under the name Gorilla gorilla gorilla (western lowland gorilla). The record is from Rfam by way of RNAcentral. Lineage: Eukaryota; Metazoa; Chordata; Mammalia; Primates; Hominidae.
GCCAGGCGUGGUGGCACUCGCCUGUAAUCCCAGCUACUCGGGAGGCUGAGGCAGGAGAAUCGCUUGAAUCCAGGAGGCGGAGGUUGCAGUGAGCCAAGAUCAUGCCACUGCACUCCAGCCUGGGUGACAGAGCGAGACUCUGUCUCCA